Molecule: ribosomal RNA, 427 nt
Filed under: uncultured bacterium
Lineage: Bacteria
Description: bacterial SSU rRNA
Rfam family: Bacterial small subunit ribosomal RNA
Source: RNAcentral
UGGGGAAUUUUGGACAAUGGGGGCAACCCUGAUCCAGCCAUGCCGCGUGAGUGAAGAAGGCCUUCGGGUUGUAAAGCUCUUUCGGCCGGGAAGAAAUCGCAUGGGUUAAUACCCUGUGUGGAUGACGGUACCGGAAUAAGAAGCACCGGCUAACUACGUGCCAGCAGCCGCGGUAAUACGUAGGGUGCGAGCGUUAAUCGGAAUUACUGGGCGUAAAGCGUGCGCAGGCGGUUUAGUAAGACAGGCGUGAAAUCCCCGGGCUCAACCUGGGAACUGCGCUUGUGACUGCUAAGCUAGAGUACGGCAGAGGGGGGUGGAAUUCCACAUGUAGCAGUGAAAUGCGUAGAGAUGUGGAGGAACACCGAUGGCGAAGGCAGCCCCCUGGGCCGAUACUGACGCUCAUGCACGAAAGCGUGGGUAGCAAACA